GCCAUGCAUGCCUAAGAUCCUUACGAGCAAUCUCUCUGAAUCUGCGAACGGCUCCGCAUAACAGUUGCAAUUACAGCUGGGGUGUCUAGGGGGGGCAGGGAAGACGGGCGUAAAGGGGGCGCAAGCUCCUGGUCGCCCGCCCGACCUCCCCUCACAUGGAUAUCCCCGGCAAACCGAGGCUAAUACGUGGGCGGUUUGUCAAGAGCUGCAGGGGGUGGAGGUGCUUGCACCGCCCCCCCCAUGCCGGUCCAGGGUAGGAGGGCCCCCUCACCCCCUCACGGGGGUUUGCGCGGGCAGUCUUAUCCAGGACUGGGGGUAUGGGUCCGACCCGGGCGCAAGCCUGGGCGCCCAGCAUCCUAGCUUCUGACCCAUCACCCUAGACGCUGUUUUAAGGAACCAGCUUAGGUGCAACGGGUACAGAGGAUCAGGGUUCGAUCCUGGAGAGUGGGCCUGAGAGAUUGCUCACACGUCUAAGGAUGGCAGCAGGCGCGCAACGUUCCCAAUGGGCAAUAGCUCGAGGGCGUUACGGGAAUAUGGAUGCCUGCCUCAUAGGUGGGCAAUCCAAAUGUGGGGGCAGUAAACAUGCCCCUCGAGUAACAACUAGAGGACAAGUCUGGUGCCAGCACCCGCGGUAAUUCCAGCUCUAGUAGCAUACUUUAAAGUUGCUGCAGUUGAAACGCUCGUAGUCGGAACACUGGUACCGUGCCGUAUGUAGGACGUUGUCGCUCCCCCACCCCUUCGCGGGGGGUGGGAACGGGGUGUGCGGCCUUUUGGCGAGUACCUGUGCUCGGGAGUCUGCCGUGGGAUCCUCCCCUCGUCCCGUCCUUCCCCCCGUCUGUCGCGUCGUCCUGAUCUCAUAAGGGACUUAUGGCGGCGGCGGUGCGUGGGAAGCCCCGUGGGCGAGGUUAACCUUUGGGUCCUGUUGGCUGGAUUAUCGUUCACAGGGAAAGCACUGCGGUCCGGUGCCGUAACGCGGGGGGCGGGGUCAAGGCUCUUUGGAUUGUGAGGCUGGUGGCGGGCGGGGGAGUUCGGUGGGUUCGAGCCAGACCUUCGGGUUAUUGGCAUCCCCACCGCCCUUGUCGAGCUGGCUGCUGCCUUAGGGUCUCCUGCCCCCUACUCGUCCAUGAGUAAACUAAGGUGUUCGAGACAGGUCUGCGCUCCUGCAUAUAGCAGCAUGGUAUCGGAGGAAUUUGGGGCUCGCCCCGCUACUUCCUCCUGUCCCAGGGGUACUCACCAUACCAGAGCUACGACCUAGUCUCCAGGGGUGUUCGGGGGUAGCCAUAUUGCCGGGCGAGGGGUGAAAUCCGUUGACCCUGGCAAGAUGAACAAUAGCGAAAGCAGCUACCAAGGGCACGCCCGUUGAUCAAGAGCUAAAGUUGGGGGCGCGAACUCGAUCAGAUACCGAGGUAGUCCCAACUGUAAAUGCUGCCGACCGGAGCUGGGGCUUUCCUAUGUCCCUCUCGACGAACCCUGGAUCCCGGAGAAAUUACAGUCACUGGGUUCUGGGGGGAGUAUGGUCGCAAGACUGAAACUUAAAGGAAUUGACGGAACGGAACACCAGGAGUGGAGCCUACGGCUUAAUUCGACUCAACACGGGAAAACUCACCAGGACCGGAUACCUGCAUGACGGACAAGCCGACGGCCUUUUCCAGAAAAAAGUAAGUGGUGGUGCAUGGCCGUUCUUGGUUCGUAGAAAAUGAUCCGUCUGGUUUAUUCCGUUAACGAGCGAGACCCCUCUUCCUCGGUUGAAGCCGCCUAGGGACUGCCAGUGGCGCCGGGGCCUGCGCGGCCCCCCUCCCGCAAGGGGGGGGGGUAGCGUGGGCCCCGGGAUCACGCUCUGGUGUAUCCCUAGGCGAGCUCACCCGUACUUCCCCCUAGAGUAUUACGGGUUCUAGUCCAGCCCGUUGGAAAGGGGCAAUAACAGGUCUGUAUGCCCUUAGAUGUCCUGGGCCGCACGUGCGUUACAAUGGGUUUGGCAACGGGCCCGCCCCGUCCGCUGUAACGCACGCGGCUCCCAAGCUGCCCUUCCCAAGCAGCAAGGAAAUCCCUGAAACAAAGGUACCCCAGCAGUCCCCCCCUAGGCUUGGGUCAGACCAUUGUAACUAUUGGUCUCUAACACGGAAUUUCUAGUACCCGCGGGUCAUCAGCCCGCGGGGGCUUAGUCCCUUCCGUUUGUACACACCGCCCGUCGCUGCUACCGAUUGAGUACUCCAUUUACGCCUUUUGAGGGCGCCAGAGGCAGGGGGGGCGACCCCCCUCCAGACGCCCCGAGA
Molecule: ribosomal RNA, 2273 nt
Filed under: Clastoderma debaryanum
Lineage: Eukaryota; Evosea; Eumycetozoa; Echinosteliales; Clastodermataceae
Description: partial 18S ribosomal RNA
Rfam family: Eukaryotic small subunit ribosomal RNA
Source: RNAcentral